AGUCUGACGGAGCACGCCGCGUGAGUGAUGAAGGUUUUCGGAUCGUAAAGCUCUGUUGUUAGGGAAGAACAAGUACCGUUCGAAUAGGGCGGUACCUUGACGGUACCUAACCAGAAAGCCACGGCUAACUACGUGCCAGCAGCCGCGGUAAUACGUAGGUGGCAAGCGUUGUCCGGAAUUAUUGGGCGUAAAGCGCGCGCAGGUGGUUCCUUAAGUCUGAUGUGAAAGCCCACGGCUCAACCGUGGAGGGUCAUUGGAAACUGGGGAACUUGAGUGCAGAAGAGGAAAGUGGAAUUCCAAGUGUAGCGGUGAAAUGCGUAGAUAUUUGGAGGAACACCAGUGGCGAAGGCGACUUUCUGGUCUGUAACUGACACUGAGGCGCGAAAGCGUGGGGAGCAAACAGGAUUAGAUACCCUGGUAGUCCACGCCGUAAACGAUGAGUGCUAAGUGUUAGGGGGUUUCCGCCCCUUAGUGCUGCAGCUAACGCAUUAAGCACUCCGCCUGGGGAGUACGGUCGCAAGACUGAAACUCAAAGGA
Molecule: ribosomal RNA, 537 nt
Filed under: Bacillus sp. (in: firmicutes)
Lineage: Bacteria; Bacillati; Bacillota; Bacilli; Caryophanales; Bacillaceae
Description: bacterial SSU rRNA
Rfam family: Bacterial small subunit ribosomal RNA
Source: RNAcentral